AUACGUAGGCAGCGAGCGUUGUUCGGAGUUACUGGGCGUAAAGCGUGCGUAGGCGGUUCCGCAAGUUCGGUGAGAAAUAUCCCGGCUCAACUGGGAGGGUGCGCCGAAAACUGCGGAGCUUGAGCGUGGGAGAGGGAAGCAGAAUUCCUGGUGUAGCGGUGAAAUGCGUAGAUAUCAGGAGGAACACCGGUGGUGUAGACGGCUUCCUGGACCACUGCUGACGCUGAGGCACGAAAGCGUGGGGAGUAAACAGGAUUAGAAACCCUAGUAGUCC
Molecule: ribosomal RNA, 274 nt
Filed under: uncultured bacterium
Lineage: Bacteria
Description: partial 16S ribosomal RNA
Rfam family: Bacterial small subunit ribosomal RNA
Source: RNAcentral